GAUGAACGCUGGCGGCGUGCCUAAUACAUGCAAGUCGAGCGAACGGACGAGAAGCUUGCUUUUCUGAUGUUAGCGGCGGACGGGUGAGUAACACGUGGAUAACCUACCUAUAAGACUGGGAUAACUUCGGGAAACCGGAGCUAAUACCGGAUAAUAUUUUGAACCGCAUGGUUCAAAAGUGAAAGACGGUCUUGCUGUCACUUAUAGAUGGAUCCGCGCUGCAUUAGCUAGUUGGUAAGGUAACGGCUACCAAGGCAACGAUGCAUAGCCGACCUGAGAGGGUGGACGGACACACUGGAACUGAGACACGGUCCAGACUCCGACGGGAGGCAGCAGUAGGGAAUCUUCCGCAAUGGGCGAAAGCCUGACGGAGCAACGCCGCGUGAGUGAUGAAGGUCUUCGGAUCGUAAAACUCUGUUAUUAGGGAAGAACAUAUGUGUAAGUAACUGUGCACAUCUUGACGGUACCUAAUCAGAAAGCCACGGCUAACUACGUG
This 496-nucleotide ribosomal RNA is filed under the name uncultured bacterium. RNAcentral describes it as "partial 16S ribosomal RNA". It matches the Rfam family "Bacterial small subunit ribosomal RNA", at positions 28 to 507 of the family's 1533-position model. The record is from RNAcentral.